CAGCAGCCCGAGUGGUGGUCGUUUUUAUUGGGCCUAAAGCGUCCGUAGCCGGUCUAGUAAAUCCUUGGAUAAAUCGUACAGCUGAACUGUACGGCUCCCGGGGAGACUGCUAGACUUGGGACUGGGAGAGGUCGGAGGUACUCCAGGGGUAGGGGUGAAAUCUUGUAAUCCUUGGGGGACCACCAGUGGCGAAGGCGUCCGACUAGAACGGGUCCGACGGUAAGGGACGAAGCCCUGGGGCGCGAACCGGAUUAGAUACCCGAGUAGUCC
Molecule: ribosomal RNA, 270 nt
Filed under: uncultured archaeon
Lineage: Archaea
Description: partial 16S ribosomal RNA
Rfam family: Archaeal small subunit ribosomal RNA
Source: RNAcentral